GUAACCGCUCUGAUUGUCAUCUGGGGGUGGGGAGACUGACUGCUUCUCCAAAUAUCAUAAGAGAGCAGACCUGGGCCAGCGAGCCGUGGGUACAAGUCCCAGGACAGCAGUUUGGGCAUAGUGCGUGGGAAAACCACCAGCAGCGGGCUCUCCUACAAGCGCCCAGAAGGGCUGGUGCAAGCGUGGCGCACGCGCACGCCGGAGUUUAGAAGAGGGACCGCGGUGGCUGUGCAGGAGCCGAGAGAAGACGGAGAGACACCCUUUCACCUCCUCAUUCCUGCUGCUCCAGUGUUCAUUUUAGCCCAACUGAACAGAACACAGUGGAAAUCCCAAACCAAGUUUGACAGCGAUUUCUUCAGAGUGCAACGCCAUGGAUUGAUGAACCCGCCAGGAACAAAGUUCCUUUUAACAAAGACGCUGUUAAAAACAAAACCGAAAAAAACCUUGCACAGCCCCUAAGUAUUUAUCAUCCAGUUACAACGAACAAACAAGAGGAGGGGCGUGGUGCAGGUCAUGCAGAUAGCUUGGACCAUUCCUUGCUGCUGAAAGAAGGGAGAGAGCAAGACAAGUGGGUAUCUGUAAUUGUGUUCUAGGCAGAGGCAACAGCCAAUGUAAAUGUCCUGAGGCAAGAGUAUGCAUAGUGUUCUGGGAAAAGCUGGGAUUGUCAGGAAGUCCGGAUUAAGAAGAGGGGUGUUAAGGAUUUUGGAUAUCAGAUGGAAGGAAGCAGGAAGCCAUCAGAGGCUUCAUCGUCGGCUGAAUAGAGGAGCAACUUUGAUUCAUAAGAUGAUACCCUUAAGUUGCUAAGAACAGUGCCUGCGCAGAGUACAAUUUCAAUUAAUAUUAGCUAUUGUUAUACUUUACCCCCUAAAUUUCCAUUUACUCACCCCACAUAUGCAAAUACACACACCACUCAAAGCCCUUCAGUAACCCCUCUCUACCUACAGAGGUGUCCCAGGUCCUUCCAUCUGGGAUUCAAGCCCCUCUAUGAUAAGGCCUAAUGCACACUUCCAGCUACCAGCCCAGAACAUGCCCAGCUACAGACUCGCUCUCCCUGGAUCUGCACACUUCCUCUCUUCUUUGCUUUCCUGUACAAUUCCUUUCCUCCUGAAAGGAACCUCCUAACAUCCUACCCAAGGUCACAUCCAUCUCAAAGGCUACCUCCUUCAUUAAGGCUUCCCUCAUGCAUCAGCAGAUAGGAGUCAUGACUGUACUAUUAGCUAAGCUGUGCCACUCACAGACCUUCUUAUCCUUGGUGCUGGGCAUGUUCCCCCAUGGAAGCCCACCCGCAGCCCCUGCCACCACCCAUGAGGAAGCUACCUGCCAACUCCUCCACAGGGCUCAGCCAAAGCACUGAACAAAGCCAUUAUGACUAUCCACGGGAUAACACAAUAAAUGCACAGCCUCUGUUUACCCCCACCCACUUGAUAAAGACCUAGCCAAGACUCAGCUGAGCAGUGAAGGGGUACCUGCUCUCGCAGGCUCUCCAAGGGGCCAGCUAAUUAUAAAUAAAAAAGGUCAGAGGGGGUAAAAAACGUCCUCUUCCUUAAAGUAUAAAAACUCAACGGACAAAAAUAAAUCUAGCAACUGCUCAGAUCAGAUCAGAACUGUUCUGAUCACCAGUUAAGCCCAAAGGCUUUGGCGUCUCUGUGAGCACAGAUAGAGGUAUUUCACACACACACACAAACCAGCCACAAUAAAAGAGGGGGAGGUUCAAAAUCAUGCUCAACACCAAACAUGCACACGCACAUAUACACACACACACGCAUGCACGCACACCCCACACACGCGCACCUAGCAUAGCUGUGUGGCCACGUUCAAGCACUUGUGUCUAGAGAAAGGACACCCCUCACACAUAGAGGAAGUUCUGAAGCACCCACAAGGCAAGAGCCAGAUGAAAAGGAACUGAGGCCAUCCUCACAAAGUCAGCGGUGGGGAGCACUUCAGCUACAUCAUAGGAGCCUCCGAUGACCAUGGAGUAAUGAGGGUGGGAAACAUAACUCACCACCUGUCUUUACAGAAGACAUAUUAAAGAGCUCUGAACUCCCGCAUGGUUUUCUGAAGCAGACAGAUGAUAUGCCAGAUCAGACAGGGGUCAGAAUCCUCUAGGUGACUGCUUAACCAGAUGCAGAUAAAUCACUGGAUCACAGAGCAGCCUCCAGAGGGUCUGAAUUAAGGAGCUCAAGGUGAAAAUGGGGGCAGGACUCACGAACUGUAGUUACCCAGGUCUCUCGGGGAGGCUCUGGCUUCUCUCUCUCUCAAGCCAUUUCACCAGGUUAGCCCCUGCCCAGGGCCAAGAACACAACAGACAAAGCAACAAGCCAGAGAAGCAACUGGUACCGAGAAUCUGGUCAAAAGGCCUCUGCCAAAGGACAAUUAGCUGGAUCCUGGGUCUCAUAAAUGGCACCUAUAAUGGA
Molecule: long non-coding RNA, 2414 nt
Organism: Hyaena hyaena (striped hyena)
Lineage: Eukaryota; Metazoa; Chordata; Mammalia; Carnivora; Hyaenidae
Exons: 2
Source: RefSeq, a predicted model, not a curated record